This 28-nucleotide non-coding RNA is filed under the name Mus musculus (house mouse). Lineage: Eukaryota; Metazoa; Chordata; Mammalia; Rodentia; Muridae. The record is from RNAcentral.
UAAGUUAUGGACAAGAUCGUUUCUGCGG